RNAcentral lists this ribosomal RNA (465 nucleotides) under uncultured bacterium. RNAcentral's name for it is "partial 16S ribosomal RNA". It matches the Rfam family "Bacterial small subunit ribosomal RNA", at positions 28 to 507 of the family's 1533-position model. The record is from RNAcentral.
GACGAACGCUGGCGGCGUGCUUAACACAUGCAAGUCGAACGGAAAGGCCCCCUUGUGGGGUACUCGAGUGGCGAACGGGUGAGUAACACGUGAGUAACCUACCCUUGACUUUGGGAUAACUUCAGGAAACUGGGGCUAAUACCGGAUAGGAGCUCCUGCUGCAUGGUGGGGGUUGGAAAGUUUCGGCGGUUGGGGAUGGACUCGCGGCUUAUCAGCUUGUUGGUGGGGUAGUGGCUCACCAAGGCUUUGACGGGUAGCCGGCCUGAGAGGGUGACCGGCCACAUUGGGACUGAGAUACGGCCCAGACUCCUACGGGAGGCAGCAGUGGGGAAUAUUGCACAAUGGGCGGAAGCCUGAUGCAGCAACGCCGCGUGCGGGAUGACGGCCUUCGGGUUGUAAACCGCUGUCGCCUGUGACGAAGCGUGAGUGACGGUAAUGGGUAAAGAAGCACCGGCUAACUACGUG